CCGGGUGAGUAACACGUGACUAACCUACCUUUGAGUGGGGGAUAACAUCGGGAAACCGAUGCUAAUACCGCAUAACAUCGCAAGAUCAAAGCAGCAAUGCGCUUAAAGAGGGGGUCGCGGCUGAUUAGCUAGUUGGCGGGGUAACGGCCCACCAAGGCGAAGAUCGGUAUCCGGCCUGAGAGGGCGCACGGACACACUGGAACUGAAACACGGUCCAGACUCCUACGGGAGGCAGCAGUGGGGAAUUUUGCGCAAUGGGGGAAACCCUGACGCAGCAACGCCGCGUGGAGGAUGAAGUCCCUUGGGACGUAAACUCCUUUCGACCAAGACGAUAAUGACGGUACUGGUGGAAGAAGCACCGGCUAACUCUGUGCCAGCAGCCGCGG
RNAcentral lists this ribosomal RNA (386 nucleotides) under uncultured bacterium. Its description in RNAcentral is "bacterial SSU rRNA". It matches the Rfam family "Bacterial small subunit ribosomal RNA", at positions 100 to 520 of the family's 1533-position model. The record is from RNAcentral.